UUCAAAAGAGCACGUGUCACAAACACUGGGCUGUGCCCUGCAGCUCUGCUGGUUUGGAACUGACAACUUUGUGAAGCAGCUGCGGUUUCUUUGACCCCGGUGAUGGCCUGCUCUUUCUGGAGACUGAGCGGCAGUGAUUCAUCUUCACAUGUUGCCCUUUGCUUCUACUGUAGGACAGGAUCUGCACAGUCUAGCAAGCUGUGAAGGUGUUUGACUCUCACAGCAUGGAGUCCUCCACUCUUCUGUUCCUGUCGGUCCCCCUGGGCCCAAACAUCCACGUGAAACAGCAGCCCCUUCAUUCAGACAGUGGAAGUGAUCCAAGGAAAUCAGCAGCGGCAGGGAGAGCUUUAAUUACAUUAAUUCAACCCUCACAUUUGUGCAGAGGAUGUGAAACGGCGCAGCAGAUGGUGCAGGCGCAGCAGUUUACAUCUUAGAAGCAGAGGAGGAAGAAACCACACCCAGACUGAAGCCCAUAUGGGUGAGGAACGCUGUUCGAUUAGAGCUCGUCACUUUAAUCAAUCACAUCAGCCGACGACAAAUGUCACCUCCGUUAAAAAGAAACCCCCUUCCCAGGUGUUUGCAAGACCAGAAAUCCAGGUGCUAGCCCGGAGAUACCUUAUAUCCAAGCUGGAUGAGCAUGGCUUUUAUCCCAGAUGUCCUCCUCUCCUUCCUGUGGCUGUCCAGCUUGUCAGGUUGGACUGUUGAAAGAUGCCAUGGGCAGUGGUCGCCUCAGAGUCCGCUGCACUUAAUCCUAA
Acanthopagrus latus (yellowfin seabream) is the source of this 755-nucleotide long non-coding RNA. RefSeq lists it as uncharacterized. The record is from RefSeq and is a predicted model, not a curated record. NCBI's taxonomy places the organism in Eukaryota, Metazoa, Chordata, Actinopteri, Spariformes, Sparidae. The transcript has 4 exons.